Molecule: ribosomal RNA, 480 nt
Filed under: uncultured bacterium
Lineage: Bacteria
Description: SSU rRNA
Rfam family: Bacterial small subunit ribosomal RNA
Source: RNAcentral
AGAAUCAACGCUGGCGGCGUGCCUCAGACAUGCAAGUCGAACGAUUAAACUUUCCCUCGGGAAAGAUAUAAAGUGGCGCACGGGUGAGUAACACGUAAGUAAUCUACCUCGGGGUGGGGAAUAACGUUCGGAAACGAACGCUAAUACCGCAUAAUGCAGCGGCUCCUUAUGAAGACAGUUGUUAAAGCAUUUAUGUGCCUGGAGAGGAGCUUGCGGCAGAUUAGCUAGUUGGUAAGGUAAUGGCUUACCAAGGCGACGAUCUGUAGCCGACCUGAGAGGGUGGUCGGUCACACUGACACUGAAUAACGGGUCAGACUCCUACGGGAGGCAGCAGUCGGGAAUUUUGGGCAAUGGGCGAAAGCCUGACCCAGCAACGCCGCGUGAAGGAUGAAGUAUUUCGGUAUGUAAACUUCGUAAAAAUGGGAAGAAUAAAUGACGGUACCAUUUGUAAGGUCCGGCUAACUACGUGCCAGCAGCCGC